Molecule: long non-coding RNA, 810 nt
Organism: Oenanthe melanoleuca
Lineage: Eukaryota; Metazoa; Chordata; Aves; Passeriformes; Muscicapidae
Exons: 4
Source: RefSeq, a predicted model, not a curated record
UUGUCCCCUUUCGGGGUUUGCUGUCCUUUAACCAGCCCCGGUGUCAUAAUCCAGCUGGGAAGGAUCCUAGCCCAGGUCCUUGGGUACUUGCCUGGAGCAGCAGGACACUGCCGGUGACAUCCAGCUGCCUCUGGCGGCCCCACAAGGUCCUUUCACAGCUGGAUUUCAGUGUAGUGCCCUCAGCAUCCAUCCGGAGCAAGGCUCAGGCUCUGUAUGUAGCCACCAAUUCAUUCACUGUUUCUCAAACAUUUCCACUCAUGAUUAUUUCUUUUUCAGACUUCCAGGCUUGAGGAUGCUCAGACCAUCACACUGUUUACACCGAGAAAAACUCUUUGAACCGUUUUUUAGCUGUUUUGGAGUCCCUCAUUUUUAAUGCUGCAUUUUUUCAUGUUCAUCUUUUAUGGAUGGAUACUCCAGGACUUGACAGAAGGUUGCUGAGGACUGGGAAGAAUGCCUGGCAGCUGAGUGUGCAAAAGUGAUUUCCUGGCCACAGGUGACCAGUGUGGAGAGUGAGAUGUGAGCCAAAACAGGAACACAGCAGGAAGGAAAGGAGCAAACACAAAGGAAAGGCGCUCAGAAUCGCGGGUCAGAGCAACAGCGUGGCUGGGGAAGGACAAGGAGGAGGAGAGGACAUCAAGCCAGGGAAUGACUUUUUCCUUUCCAGUCAUGAUCCUGCCAUGCCUGGAACCUGGGAUCCCCCCUCAAAUGAGACCUUGCUGCUGACCCCAGUGGGGUCAGACAAAGGACAAACCAAGGAGCCUUCUGCCCCAAAAAUGCCAAAGUUAUGGAAAAGAGGGAAUGUGAGAAAGU